GGUAAUGCCGGAUGCUCCAGUUGAUCGCAUGGUCUUCUGGGAAAGCUUUCGCGGUAUGGGAUGGGGUCGCGUCCUAUCAGCUUGACGGCGGGGUAACGGCCCACCGUGGCUUCGACGGGUAGCCGGCCUGAGAGGGCGACCGGCCACAUUGGGACUGAGAUACGGCCCAGACUCCUACGGGAGGCAGCAGUGGGGAAUAUUGCACAAUGGGCGCAAGCCUGAUGCAGCGACGCCGCGUGAGGGAUGGAGGCCUUCGGGUUGUAAACCUCUUUUAUCGGGGAGCAAGCGAGAGUGAGUUUACCCGUUGAAUAAGCACCGGCUAACUACGUGCCAGCAGCCGCGGUAAUACGUAGGGUGCAAGCGUUAUCCGGAAUUAUUGGGCGUAAAGGGCUCGUAGGCGGUUCGUCGCGUCCGGUGUGAAAGUCCAUCGCUUAACGGUGGAUCCGCGCCGGGUACGGGCGGGCUUGAGUGCGGUAGGGGAGACUGGAAUUCCCGGUGUAACGGUGGAAUGUGUAGAUUCGAAAAAAAAACCCCCACCC
Molecule: ribosomal RNA, 539 nt
Filed under: Bifidobacterium longum subsp. suillum
Lineage: Bacteria; Bacillati; Actinomycetota; Actinomycetes; Bifidobacteriales; Bifidobacteriaceae
Description: bacterial SSU rRNA
Rfam family: Bacterial small subunit ribosomal RNA
Source: RNAcentral